This 270-nucleotide ribosomal RNA is filed under the name uncultured archaeon. Its description in RNAcentral is "partial 16S ribosomal RNA". It matches the Rfam family "Archaeal small subunit ribosomal RNA", at positions 477 to 747 of the family's 1478-position model. The record is from RNAcentral.
CUGCAGCUCAAGUGGUGAUCGCUAUUAUUGGGCCUAAAACGUUCGUAGCCGGUUUGGUAAAUGCCUGGGUAAAUAGUGUAGCUUAACUAUACGAAUUCCGGGUAGACUGCCAAACUUGAGACCGGGAGAGGCUAGAGGUACUCCUGGGGUAGAGGUGAAAUUCUGUAAUCCUGAGGGGACCACCAGUGGCGAAGGCGUCUAGCUAGAACGGGUCUGACGGUGAGGAACGAAGCCCUGGGGCGCGAACCGGAUUAGAUACCCGAGUAGUCC